UUCUGGUUGAUCCCGCCGGACCUGACUGCUAUCGGAUUGAUACUAAGCCAUGCGAGUCUUUGUAGUAAUACAAGGCAGACGGCUCAGUAACACGUAGUCAACCUACCCUAUGGACGAGAAUAAUCUCGGGAAACUGAGCAUAAUUCUCGAUAGAUCAUAAUGCCUGGAAUGGUUUAUGGUUAAAAUGAUUCGUCGCCAUAGGAUGGGACUGCGGCCUAUCAGCUUGUUGGUGAGGUAAUGGCCCACCAAGGCGAUUACAGGUACGGGCUCUGAGAGGAGAAGCCCGGAGAUGGGUACUGAGACACGGACCCAGGCCCUAUGGGGCGCAGCAGGCGAGAAAACUUUGCAAUGUGCGAAAGCACGACAAGGUUAAUCCGAGUGAUUUCUGCUAAAGAAAUCUUUUACCAGUCAUAAAACCACUGGUGAAUAAGGGGUGGGCAAGUUCUGGUGUCAGCCGCCGCGGUAAAACCAGCACCUCAAGUGGUCAGGAUGAUUAUUGGGCCUAAAGCAUCCGUAGCCGGCUUUGUUAGUUUUCGGUUAAAUCCAUGUGCUCAACGCAUGGGCUGCCGAAAAUACUGCAAGGCUAGGGAGUGGGAGAGGUAGACGGUACUCAGUAGGAAGGGGUAAAAUCCUUUGAUCUAUUGAUGACCACCUGUGGCGAAGGCGGUCUACCAGAACACGUUCGACGGUGAGGGAUGAAAGCUGGGGGAGCAAACCGGAUUAGAUACCCGGGUAGUCCCAGCUGUAAACGAUGCAGACUCGAUGAUGCAUUGGCAUAUAGCCAGUGCAGUGUCGCAGGGAAGCCGUUAAGUCUGCCGCCUGGGAAGUACGUACGCAAGUAUGAAACUUAAAGGAAUUGGCGGGGGAGCACCACAAGGGGUGAAGCCUGCGGUUCAAUUGG
This 901-nucleotide ribosomal RNA is filed under the name uncultured archaeon. RNAcentral's name for it is "bacterial SSU rRNA". It matches the Rfam family "Archaeal small subunit ribosomal RNA", at positions 1 to 909 of the family's 1478-position model. The record is from RNAcentral.